CCCCAGAUGUUGCUGAACUACAACUCCCAUGAUUCUCUGGCUCUCUGUUUCAUUGAAAGAAUCAUGGGAGUUGUAGUUCAGCAACAUCUAGAG
Pelobates cultripes (western spadefoot toad) is the source of this 93-nucleotide non-coding RNA. Lineage: Eukaryota; Metazoa; Chordata; Amphibia; Anura; Pelobatidae. The record is from the annotation of a GenBank genome assembly.